GUGGUGCAAAGGACCCUAGGGUUAAAUUAUUCCGAACCAUCACUUUCAAGGCUCUGACAAACCAACCCAACAGCUGACCAGCGGCAGGAAAGGCAGUGGGACUGACUGCCUCCCCGAGUUGGUCCAAAAAGUGUCUCGGAACACACCGAAGCGACGCAGACUUGAGCGUACGUUCUGUGUGUGCACGAGACGUAAUACCUCUCCA
Molecule: long non-coding RNA, 205 nt
Organism: Etheostoma spectabile (orangethroat darter)
Lineage: Eukaryota; Metazoa; Chordata; Actinopteri; Perciformes; Percidae
Exons: 3
Source: RefSeq, a predicted model, not a curated record